This 1752-nucleotide ribosomal RNA is filed under the name Triticum aestivum (bread wheat). RNAcentral describes it as "partial small subunit ribosomal RNA". Lineage: Eukaryota; Viridiplantae; Streptophyta; Magnoliopsida; Poales; Poaceae. The record is from RNAcentral.
AUGUCCAUGGUUAUCUCCUCCGGUCUUCCAGCUCCUUGCUCUCUCCUCAUGGCAACCUUGAUGCUGCUCAUCGUCCAGGCGCAAAGCUUCACUAGGCACUACAAUUUCAAUGUGCAAAUGGCCAACGUGACGAGGCUGUGCGCCACCAAGAGCAUCGUGACGGUGAACGGGGAGUACCCCGGCCCGGCGCUCGUGGCGAGGGAAGGCGACCGCGUCGUCGUCCGCGUCACCAACCACGUCGCGCACAACAUGACGCUGCACUGGCACGGCGUCCGGCAGCUGCGGAACGGCUGGGCCGACGGGACGGCGUACGUCACGCAGUGCCCGAUCCAGACGGGCCAGAGCUACGUCUACAACUUCACCGUCACCGGACAGCGUGGCACGCUGUGGUGGCACGCGCACAUCUCCUGGCUACGCGCCACCGUCCACGGCGCCAUUGUCGUCCUCCCCAAGCACGGCGUGCCUUACCCGUUUGCCGCGCCGCACAUGGAGGUUCCGGUCAUCUUGGGUGAAUGGUGGAGGGCGGACACGGAGGCGGUCAUCACCCGGGCGCUUCACACAGGUGGACCCUCGGAUGUCUCCGAUGCUUAUACCAUAAAUGGGCUUCCCGGGCCGCUCUACAACGACUGCUGCGCCAAAGACACUUUCAAACUAAAGGUGGAACCCGGGAAAACGUACAUGUUACGCCUCAUCAAUGCCGCGCUCAACAAUGAGCUCUUCUUCUCCAUCGCCAAUCACACGCUAACCGUCGUCGAGGUCGAUGCCGUCUAUGUCAAGCCUUUCACCGUCAAGACACUAAUCAUCUUACCGGGGCAGACCACCAAUGUGCUCCUCACCGCCAAGCCGUUGUAUCCAAAGGCCAACUUCUACAUGUCGGCUGCUCUCUACCUAGGCAUCAGGCCUGGCUACAUCAACAACAGCACGGGUGCUGCCAUUCUCGUGUAUCAAAAGCCCAGCUCCCCCUCCACGCCAAGCUCAUUUGACAAAGACCUACCGCUACUCAAGCCAGCGCUGCCACGGUUCAACGACACCAGCUACGUCGCCAACUUCACCUCCAAGCUCCGGAGCCUUGCCACGCCGCAGCACCCGGCGGUGGUACCACGGUCGAUAGACAAGCAGUUCUUCUUCACGGUCGGCACGGGCACGUUCCCAUGCCCCAUAAACACGACGUGCCAAGGGCCCAUCAACAGAACGCGGUUCGCGGCGUCGGUGAACAAUGUCUCCUUUGUGCUCCCUUCCACGGCGCUCCUUGAGUCGCACUUCUUCACCCAGGGUGAGGGUGGUGUCUACGGGUCCGACUUUCCAGCCAUGCCCCCAUCUCGGUGCAACUACACCGGGACACCACCGAACAACACGAACGUUGGCAAGGGGACCAAGCUUGUCGUGCUGCCAUUCAACGCGUCGGUGGAGCUGGUGAUUCAAGACACGAGCAUCCUCGGCGUCGAGAACCACCCCAUGCACCUGCAUGGCUUCAACUUCUUUGUGGUCGGGCAAGGAUUCGGCAACUACGACCCCAUGAACGACCCAGCCAAGUUCAACCUCAUCGACCCAAUAGAGCGGAACACCGUAGGGGUGCCCGCCGGUGGGUGGGUGGUCAUUCGCUUCGUCGCUGACAAUCCAGACGUAUGGCUCAUGCAUUGCCAUUUGGAGCUGCACGCGACGUGGGGUAUGGAAAUGGCAUGGCUGGUGCUAGACGGGAGCCUUCCGAACCACAAGUUGAUGCCCCCACCGACUGACCUCCCCAAAUGCUAA